AGGAACACCAGUGNGAAGGCGACUUUUUUGGGCUGUAACUACGNUGAGGCGNGAAAGCGUGGGGAGCAAACAGGAUUAGAUACCNUGGUAGUCCACGCCGUAAACGAUGAAUGCUAGGUGUUAGGGGUUUCGAUACCCUUGGUGCCGAAGUUAACACAUUAAGCAUUCCGCNUGGGGAGUACGGUCGCAAGACUGAAACUCAAAGGAAUUGACGGGGACCCGCACAAGCAGUGGAGUAUGUGGUUUAAUUCGAAGCAACGCGAAGAACCUUACCAAGUCUUGACAUCCCUCUGAAUCCUCUAGAGAUAGAGGCGGCCUUCGGGACAGAGGUGACAGGUGGUGCAUGGUUGUCGUCAGCUCGUGUCGUGAGAUGUUGGGUUAAGUCCCGCAACGAGCGCAACCCUUGAUUUUAGUUGCCAGCACUUUGGGUGGGCACUCUAGAAUGACUGCCGGUGACAAACCGGAGGAAGGCGGGGAUGACGUCAAAUCAUCAUGCCCCUUAUGACUUGGGCUACACACGUACUACAAUGGCUGGUACAACGGGAAGCGAAGCCGCGAGGUGGAGCCAAUCCUAUAAAAGCCAGUCUCAGUUCGGAUUGCAGGCUGCAACUCGCCUGCAUGAAGUCGGAAUUGCUAGUAAUNAAGGAUCAGGGGGCUUUCAAG
RNAcentral lists this ribosomal RNA (663 nucleotides) under Paenibacillus ginsengagri. RNAcentral describes it as "bacterial SSU rRNA". It matches the Rfam family "Bacterial small subunit ribosomal RNA", at positions 702 to 1364 of the family's 1533-position model. Lineage: Bacteria; Bacillati; Bacillota; Bacilli; Caryophanales; Paenibacillaceae. The record is from RNAcentral.